Molecule: unclassified non-coding RNA, 21 nt
Filed under: Dictyostelium discoideum
Lineage: Eukaryota; Evosea; Eumycetozoa; Dictyosteliales; Dictyosteliaceae
Source: RNAcentral
AUACUUUAUUCAAUUCGGAUA